CUCUCGUUGUGAUUGCUAUUAAGCUUGGGGUAAGGCGUUUAUGAUUUGAUUAUCUACUAUAUUUGAGAGCCUUACAAAGGAUCACAACUUUUGAUUGAGCAAUAUAUGGGAUUCUCAAAUGCUGAAGAGGUGACAGGUGGGAUUUGGAUAACAAACAUAUUAAUGAUUCUAGCAGGAAGUGUUGUUAGAACUUGGAAGCUUGAUCGUACCAUAUUUAUCUUUCUUUAUUAUUGAGGAACUUAUUGAUUACAUUAAUUUUGGAUACAAAUUUGAUUUUUAUGAUAUGUGAUCAAAAUUAUUGUUAGAGGAUGUUUUGUUUGAGGUCAAGUUGUGUUGGGAAUGGUUUGUUUUUGUUGGGUUUUGGUUAUUCUGCUUAGGAAGUGCCAAUGAUUUGAAAGAUUUCACAAUUAUCUAAUUUCUACUAUGUAUCAAUUAUUACUUCUAAUAUCGAUACAAUUUGUUAUCACUUUGUAUCUUGAUACAGUGACUAUUAAUGCUUCAUAUCUCUACUAGUAAUUAAGUAUUGAAUUGAUUUACAUUUU
Long non-coding RNA from Camellia sinensis, 542 nucleotides. RefSeq lists it as uncharacterized. Lineage: Eukaryota; Viridiplantae; Streptophyta; Magnoliopsida; Ericales; Theaceae. The record is from RefSeq and is a predicted model, not a curated record.